Molecule: long non-coding RNA, 1414 nt
Organism: Ictalurus punctatus (channel catfish)
Lineage: Eukaryota; Metazoa; Chordata; Actinopteri; Siluriformes; Ictaluridae
Exons: 2
Source: RefSeq, a predicted model, not a curated record
CUAACUUGGAGGCUAGAGGCGCGUUUUAAUUUUACAGUUAUGCUUCGCAGAAAAUAUAAUGAACAAAAUAAUAAUAAUAAUAAUAAUAAUAAUAAUAAAAACAAGGAAACAAAUGUUCCAUUUACUUCACAUGUAGCCAUUUUGAGAAAUUAAGUCUUACUGCUUUAGGACUCACAGGAUGCUAAAACAUGAAUAGACGUGUGAUAACUAAUGAGCCAUUCGCUGACUUGACGCUGACACCACUUCCUUACAAAAAAUGUUUGAUAAAAACGUACAUAGAAACAAUUUCUUUAAAAAACAACAACAACAACAACAACAAUGUUAUUAAUAUUUAAAACUUGAAUCGUGUGAAUAAGUGUUUCCGGGUUUCAAAAUGGCGGCCUCUACUUUCGCUCCCUCUCCUAGCAUCUGAAAACACAGCUAUGUUAAAGGUUCUUCGUUCUUUUCUGCUUUCUCCUGGCUGGGAGACGGGGAGCGGGGCGCUGAGCCGGUGUUGGAACUGCUGCUGCUGGGUCGGUCCUGAGACUCUGCUUUCUCCUGGCUAGGAGACGGGGAGCAGGGCGCUGAGCCGGUGUUGGAACUGCUGCUGCUGGGUCGGUCCUGAGACUCUGCUUUCUCCUGGCUGGGAGACGGGGAGCAGGGCGCUGAGCCGGUGUUGGAACUGCUGCUGCUGGGUCGGUCCUGAGACUCUGCUUUCUCCUGGCUGGGAGACGGGGAGCAGGGCGCUGAGCCGGCGCUGGAACUGCUGCUGCUGGGUCGGUCCUGAGACUCUGCUUUCUCCUGCUCCCUAGUUGUCGUUGUCGGUACUGCUGCUUGCCGAGAGCUGCAGGAAGGGCCAGCGCCAGAAGACGAGGACGAGGAAGAAGCUUCAGCUUCACUCUCAUCGCUCUCACCUUCCGAACUGUCCACGUCCUCAAGGUCCUCGAGGUUGGUCCUGGGGAAAUCAGGACCAUCAAGAAGUUAAAGUUCUGUUUUGACAUUCUUAUUACAUAAUACAUUUGGCAUUCUUAUUACAUAAUACAAGAUGUUUAAAUGGCUAUCUAUCUAACAGCAUACACACAAGGGUAGUGUAAAAUGGAAUGAUCUCCAUAUGAAAUGCCCUCGUUUUCCAGAGCACUGUGACCGCUGGAUUUCUCACCAGAAGCAUUUCUUCUUUGAAGACGUGUUUCCGUUUUUGGUAGCUGGGCGUUUACGUAGUGGCUUUUCUUCUGCCCGUACCACGCCGCUGGAUGAAGCCUGCAUGCCUGGAAGUAGGAAACAAACAACUCUGUAAUCAAUGACAUAUAGACAAUUAAGGCACCUAGACAAUUUACAUGUUACUGUUUACAGAUCGAAUUAUCCAGCUACUGUCCUGUUGUAUACAUGCAGGAGAAAAACCUGAUUUGUAAAAAAUAAAUAAAGAAAGAAAACAAAA